UUAAAUGGCCGCAGUAUUUUGACUGUGCAAAGGUAGCAUAAUAAUUAGUUUCUUAAUUAGAAGCUAGAAUGAAAGGUUGAACGAAAUAAUAACUGUCUCUUUAUAAAUUUAUUAGAAUUUUAUUUUUAAGUUAAAAAGCUUAAAUAUAUUUAAAAGACGAGAAGACCCUAUAGAGUUUUAUAUAAUUUUUUUUUAAAAAAAAAAUUUAAUUUUUAAUUAUAAAAAUUUUAUAAAAAAUUAUAUUUAGUUGGGGUGAUUGAAAAAUUUAAUAAACUUUUUUUUAAUAAAACAUUUUUUUAUGAUUAAUUGAUCCAUUACUAAUGAUUAAAAGAUUAAAUUACCUUAGGGAUAACAGCGUAAUUUCUUUUUAGAGUUCAAAUCGAUAAAGAAGUUUGCGACCUCGAUGUUGGAUUAAAAUAAAUUUUUGGUGUAGAAGCUAAAAUAUUAGGUCUGUUCGACCUUUAAAAUUUUACAUGAUCUGAGUUUAAACCGGUGUAAGCCAGGUUGGUUUUUAUCUUUAAAUAAUUAAUAUAUUUUAGUACGAAAGGACCAAAUAUUAAAAAAAAUUUUUAAAUAUUGAAUAAUAUUAAUUU
Molecule: ribosomal RNA, 593 nt
Filed under: Ilyobates bennetti
Lineage: Eukaryota; Metazoa; Arthropoda; Insecta; Coleoptera; Staphylinidae
Description: partial 16S ribosomal RNA
Rfam family: Bacterial large subunit ribosomal RNA (bases 348-506)
Source: RNAcentral